Molecule: ribosomal RNA, 480 nt
Filed under: uncultured bacterium
Lineage: Bacteria
Description: bacterial SSU rRNA
Rfam family: Bacterial small subunit ribosomal RNA
Source: RNAcentral
ACGCUGGCGGCGUGCUUAACACAUGCAAGUCAAGGAGAAAGUUCCUUUCGGGGAGCGAUUAAACUGGCGCACGGGUGAGUAAUAUAUAAGCAAUCUACCUAUGGGUUCGGAAUAACGUCGAGAAAUCGGCGCUAAUACCGUAUAAUGCAGCGGCAUCGCAUGGUGAUGUUGUUAAAGUUUAAUUAACGCCUAUAGAUGAGCUUGUAUCUGAUUAGCUAGUUGGUGAGGUAACGGCCCACCAAGGCUACGAUCAGUAGCUGGUCUGAGAGGAUGAUCAGCCACACGGGCACUGAGACACGGGCCCGACUCCUACGGGAGGCAGCAGUAGGGAAUAUUGGACAAUGGGCGCAAGCCUGAUCCAGCCAUCCCGCGUGAAGGAUUAAGGCCCUCUGGGUUGUAAACUUCUUUUCUUUGGGAAUAAAAACUCCGUUUCUACGGAGCUUGAAGGUACCAGAGGAAUAAGCACCGGCUAACUCCGUG